Molecule: long non-coding RNA, 605 nt
Organism: Perca fluviatilis (European perch)
Lineage: Eukaryota; Metazoa; Chordata; Actinopteri; Perciformes; Percidae
Exons: 3
Source: RefSeq, a predicted model, not a curated record
GCUAAAGAUAGCAGUUUUAUUUAAAUAUAUUUAAAAUAUUAUAGUCUUUGCUGUAAAAUAUAAGCAAUAUAGCAGCUAUUACGUUAUAUAAAUAACGUGUCAAGACAAAUAUCAAUGAGAAGAUAUUGAAAUAAAACCAGUUUUGUUGGAGGAGGGAGAAGUAAGUUAGCUAAUCUUACAGGAAACAAUGUUAGCAUAGCUACAUGAAGCUAGCAGGACAAGGGACUGCCGGAACGACGGCCGCCCGCAUGGAAGUAUUGUAGCCGGCGCCAUCACGCCCGCAACAACUCUGCUUCGGUUUUCUCACUGGGCAGCAGAAACAAAAUAAAAACGGGAACUGUCACAUCUUUCUUCCGUCAGGGGUGUAAAAUGUGGCACUUAUUAAUUCCCUCCUACACUGACAAACUCGAACGACAUCUUGGACAAUUCAAUAUUGGGAUUGAAUCAUCUCCACUUCCCGUCUCACCCUUAACACCCUAAGGUUUUGAGAAAUGUGUCUCAGAGAUUCCUGGCCCCACCCCAAUACAACAGAGAAGUAAAAAAAACGACAGAUAUACCUUCUUUGGAGAGGCGUGAGAUGUGUUCUCCCAGCUCCCGGAUGCUCC